This 464-nucleotide ribosomal RNA is filed under the name uncultured bacterium. Its description in RNAcentral is "partial 16S ribosomal RNA". It matches the Rfam family "Bacterial small subunit ribosomal RNA", at positions 338 to 795 of the family's 1533-position model. The record is from RNAcentral.
ACUACGGGUGGCAGCAGUGGGGAAUUUUGGACAAUGGGCGCAAGCCUGAUCCAGCUAUUCCGCGUGUGGGAUGAAGGCCCUCGGGUUGUAAACCACUUUUGUAGAGGACGAAAAGACACCUUCGAAUCAAGGGUGUUGCUGACGGUACCCUAAGAAUAAGCACCGGCUAACUACGUGCCAGCCGCCGCGGUAAUACGGAGGAUGCGAGCGUUAUCCGGAUUUAUUGGGAUUAAAGGGUGCGCAGGCGGAAGCUCAAGUCAGCGGUAAAAUUGAGCGGCUAAACCUCUUCGAGCCGGUGAAACUGGUUUUCUUGAGUGAGCGAGAAGUAUGCGGAAUGCGUGGUGUAGCGGUGAAAUGCAGAGAUAUCACGCAGAACUCCGAUUGCGAAGGCAGCAUACCGGCGCUCAACUGACGCUCAUGCACGAAAGUGUGGGUAUCGAACAGGAUUAGAUACCCGAGUAGUC